RNAcentral lists this unclassified non-coding RNA (612 nucleotides) under Hevea brasiliensis (rubber tree). The record is from RNAcentral. Lineage: Eukaryota; Viridiplantae; Streptophyta; Magnoliopsida; Malpighiales; Euphorbiaceae.
GAAUAUUACUAGCUGUUAAGUUCAUAUAAUAAGAAAUUCAUCCAUAUAUAAUUGAUUCAACUUGUCUGCAGUAUAUGUCUAAUUGUGUAUUAGCAAAACAGUCCAUGCAUGAACAGAGCUAUGAGUUUCAAAUACAAAAUUUUAUUUCAUUUGAGCAAGUAGUCCAAGUAGCUGCCUUAUAUUUACGUACACCAAGAACAUGGCCACACAUUUCUUUUUAAGUUAAAAAAAACUUAAAAACAUAUAACUGCAUUAAACAACUAAUAAUUGUAGCCUUUCAAUUUAACUGUUGCUUUAGCACAUCCUGUGCAAGGCUCUGUGAUCAGUUCUUCCCCGAUUUACCACCUUUUCCCUUCUUCUUGGAUUCUUUUGGUGCAGCCUUCUUGGACGCAGAAGACUUAGAACCUGCAGAUUUGGAGGCACCAUCAGUAGCCUUGGGCGCAGGUUCCUUCUUGCCCUGCCCAAAAAGUUGAGUGCCAACCGGUUUCUCAGCUUUCAAUGAUGCCAUAUUGGUUUAGAAAUUAAAACCCUUCACGAAGAGAUGGGUUUGUAUCUUAGCUUCUGCUGGCUCUGCUAUGUCCCAUCUCCAGUAUAUUUAUGGUGCAGAGGAGU